UACGUAGGGGGCGAGCGUUGUCCGGAUUUAUUGGGCGUAAAGAGCGUGUAGGCGGCCAGGUAGGUCUUCUGUGAAAACUCGAGGCUCAACCUCGAGACGUCGGCGGAAACCAUCUGGCUAGAGUCCGGAAGAGGAGAGUGGAAUUCCUGGUGUAGCGGUGAAAUGCGCAGAUAUCAGGAAGAACACCAAUUGCGAAGGCAGCUCGCUGGGACGUAACUGACGCUGAGACGCGAAAGCGUGGGGAGCAAACAGG
RNAcentral lists this ribosomal RNA (253 nucleotides) under uncultured bacterium. RNAcentral's name for it is "partial 16S ribosomal RNA". It matches the Rfam family "Bacterial small subunit ribosomal RNA", at positions 524 to 776 of the family's 1533-position model. The record is from RNAcentral.